AAAAGCCCGAACGGGUUAUCGUUGUAAAGAUAUCCGAUGAACUGUGGUAAGUUAGUGAAAGACAAAACUGACUAGUAUAGCUGGUUUUCCGCGAAACCUAUGUAAGUAGGUAAUUUAAUUAACAUCUUAGCAGGUACAGAACUGU
This 145-nucleotide ribosomal RNA is filed under the name Chaetoceros curvisetus. RNAcentral describes it as "partial Bacterial large subunit ribosomal RNA". It matches the Rfam family "Bacterial large subunit ribosomal RNA", at positions 768 to 913 of the family's 2925-position model. Lineage: Eukaryota; Bacillariophyta; Thalassiosirophyceae; Chaetocerotales; Chaetocerotaceae. The record is from RNAcentral.